RNAcentral lists this ribosomal RNA (269 nucleotides) under uncultured archaeon. Its description in RNAcentral is "partial 16S ribosomal RNA". It matches the Rfam family "Archaeal small subunit ribosomal RNA", at positions 477 to 747 of the family's 1478-position model. The record is from RNAcentral.
CAGCACCUCAAGUGGUCAGGAUGAUUAUUGGGCCUACAGCAUCCGUAGCCGGCGCUGUAAGUUUUCGGUUAAAUCUGUACGCUCAACGUACAGGCUGCCGGGAAUACUGCAGCGCUAGGGAGUGGGAGAGGUAGACGGUACUCGGUAGGAAGGGGUAAAAUCCUUUGAUCUAUUGAUGACCACCUGUGGCGAAGGCGGUCUACCAGAACACGUCCGACGGUGAGGGAUGAAAGCUGGGGGAGCAAACCGGUUAGAUACCCGCGUAGUCC